ACGGAAGGCAGCAGUAGGGAAUAUUGCACAAUGGGGGGAACCCUGAUGCAGCAACGCCACGUGUGGGAAGAAGCAUUUCGGUGUGUAAACCACUGUCGUGAGGGAAUAAUGCUUGGUCUCGGCCAAGUUGAAUGUACCUCGAAAGGAAGCACCGGCAAACUUCGUGCCAGUAGCCGCGGUAAUACGAGGGGUGCAAGCGUUGUUCGGAAUCACUGGGCGUAAAGGGAGCGCAGGCGGAGAUGCAAGCAGUCUGUACAAUACCGGGGCCCAACCCCGGACCUGCAGACUGGACUGUUUCUCUUGGAUAGCUCAGGGGCAAGCGGAAUUCCUGGUGUAGCGGUGGAAUGCGUAGAGAUCAGGAAGAACACCGAUGGCGAAGGCAGCUUGCUGGGGACUUAUCGACGCUCAUGCUCGAAAGUGCGGGUAGCAAACAGGAUUAGAUACCCUGGUA
This 451-nucleotide ribosomal RNA is filed under the name uncultured Fibrobacter sp. Its description in RNAcentral is "partial 16S ribosomal RNA". It matches the Rfam family "Bacterial small subunit ribosomal RNA", at positions 341 to 792 of the family's 1533-position model. The record is from RNAcentral. Lineage: Bacteria; Pseudomonadati; Fibrobacterota; Fibrobacteria; Fibrobacterales; Fibrobacteraceae.